Molecule: ribosomal RNA, 113 nt
Filed under: Candidatus Poseidoniaceae archaeon
Lineage: Archaea; Methanobacteriati; Thermoplasmatota; Candidatus Poseidoniia; Candidatus Poseidoniales; Candidatus Poseidoniaceae
Description: partial 16S ribosomal RNA
Rfam family: Archaeal small subunit ribosomal RNA
Source: RNAcentral
UAGUUGGGGGUGGGUGAGGCUGCGCUUUAUGGCGUAUUCGAGCCUGCCUUCGACAAGGAGGGUUAAGUCGUAACAAGGUAUCUGUAGGGGAACCUGCAGAUGGAUCACCUCCU